Molecule: long non-coding RNA, 255 nt
Organism: Myotis brandtii (Brandt's bat)
Lineage: Eukaryota; Metazoa; Chordata; Mammalia; Chiroptera; Vespertilionidae
Exons: 3
Source: RefSeq, a predicted model, not a curated record
GACUUCCAAAGCUAUUUGCAAAAAUAAAUGUAUUUACAAAGUCUGUUCUUAAAAUAAACAUGACCCUAAGUGGCUCCAGCUAUUCUAAAGCUAAGGCUCUUCCAGUCACUUGAAUUGGGUCCUUCUCCUGCAACAUUUGGCCUUUUCUUUCUUUUCUUUUUUUGAUAAAAAAUAUGGAAUGCUUCACGAAUUUGUGUGCCAUCCUUGCGCGGGGGCCACGCUAAUCUUCUCUAUGCCAAAAAUAUGGAAGGCUUC